This 608-nucleotide ribosomal RNA is filed under the name Hypomyces aurantius. RNAcentral's name for it is "eukaryotic LSU rRNA". It matches the Rfam family "Eukaryotic large subunit ribosomal RNA", at positions 38 to 669 of the family's 3401-position model. Lineage: Eukaryota; Fungi; Ascomycota; Sordariomycetes; Hypocreales; Hypocreaceae. The record is from RNAcentral.
GCAUAUCAAUAAGCGGAGGAAAAGAAACCAACAGGGAUUGCUCCAGUAACGGCGAGUGAAGCGGCAACAGCUCAAAUUUGAAAUCUGGCCCCUAGGGCCCGAGUUGUAAUUUGCAGAGGAUGCUUUUGGCAAGGCGCCGCCCGAGUUCCCUGGAACGGGACGCCGCAGAGGGUGAGAGCCCCGUCUGGCUGGACGCCGAGCCUUUGUAAAGCUCCUUCGACGAGUCGAGUAGUUUGGGAAUGCUGCUCUAAAUGGGAGGUAUAUGUCUUCUAAAGCUAAAUAUUGGCCAGAGACCGAUAGCGCACAAGUAGAGUGAUCGAAAGAUGAAAAGCACUUUGAAAAGAGGGUUAAACAGUACGUGAAAUUGUUGAAAGGGAAGCGCUCAUGACCAGACUUGGGCUUGGCGGAUCAUCCGGCGUUCUCGCCGGUGCACUUCGCCUCGCCCAGGCCAGCAUCAGUUCGCCCCGGGGGACAAAAGCUUCGGGAAUGUGGCUCCUCCGGGAGUGUUAUAGCCCGUGGCACAAUACCCUGGGGCGGACUGAGGUUCGCGCGUCCGCAAGGAUGCUGGCGUAAUGGUCAUCAGCGACCCGUCUUGAACCACGGACCCA